UUCCUGGUGGUCCACUGGUUAGGACUCUGAACUUCCAAUGCAGGGGACUUGGGUUCAAUCCCUGGUCAGGGAA
Molecule: transfer RNA, 73 nt
Organism: Ovis aries (sheep)
Lineage: Eukaryota; Metazoa; Chordata; Mammalia; Artiodactyla; Bovidae
Rfam family: tRNA
About the family: Transfer RNA (tRNA) molecules are approximately 80 nucleotides in length. Their secondary structure includes four short double-helical elements and three loops (D, anti-codon, and T loops).
Source: Rfam